Transfer RNA from Caenorhabditis elegans, 76 nucleotides. The record is from Ensembl. Lineage: Eukaryota; Metazoa; Nematoda; Chromadorea; Rhabditida; Rhabditidae.
CCGUCGAUAGCUCAGUAGUUGGUAGAGCGGAGGACUGUAGAUCCUUAGAUCGCUGGUUCGAAUCCGGCUCGACGGA